Molecule: long non-coding RNA, 1339 nt
Organism: Notothenia coriiceps (black rockcod)
Lineage: Eukaryota; Metazoa; Chordata; Actinopteri; Perciformes; Nototheniidae
Exons: 2
Source: RefSeq, a predicted model, not a curated record
UUCUCAUGCACUGAUUCGCUAGCUGAACAGCCAAUCAGAGUGAUUUCUUUGGCCGACUGCCCAAAGUCGCCUUUUUUCGACUAAUCGGCCUGGUGUGUCCGUGCCUUAAGGCUCUGACCCGGUCCAACCCAGGUUAACUAACCUGGGUUAUCUAACCCUCUCUAAGGCUCUGGAGGCCGCUCUCUCUGAGGCGCGACGCCAACAUCCUGAACUUUCCGUCACUCGAGUCGUCGUCCACAAAGAGACCGAGGUUUCUCCUGAUCAUGUGACCGAUUAGUGACAUCACAGGACUGAAGCUACAAGACUGCAGGAUCAUGGGAGCAGUGGACACACACACACACACACACACACACACACACACACAGACACACACACACACACACAGAGACACACGCACAAGUCGGUCGACCUCAGUUGAACUCUCAAAGUGAACUCCAGGCCCCGCCCCCUCACAUCUAAUUGGUUGGUAGACUCAAGGUGCUCCAUAUUAAACUUCAGUAGUCUUUUAAUAAAAGUCUUCAUCAUAUUUUCUGAUUUCUGAGUCGCUGAUCCUAAUCAUGUUAGCAUAGCAUCACAUGUUAGCCUAGCAUCAUCUGCACCAGCUUUACCUGGAUGAUAAACAGGAGGUAGAAUUCAUAUUUAUAUUUCUGUCGACUGUACAGCUCCAACAUUAGUAACAGGAAGUGGAACUUUAUUCGGACAUCUGAUGCAAACUGUUACCUGUAAGAUAGCAUGUUUGCUAGCACUGUAGCAGCUAACUGUAUAGCAGCUUAAACUCUGUAUUUACCCACAAUGCAAUAGUAAUGUGCCAUUCUUCUCACCAUGGAAACCCUGUUAUUAUUUAUUCACAGUGAUGUUGAUUUAUGUGUUUAUUUAUUAUUGAUCUGUGUUGUAAUCCCAACCCGACAACGUAAAGCUGAGCUUAAACUGUAUGAUGUAAAUUGUACGAUGUUGGCUAGCUAGUCUCUGAAGAAAAGAGCCUCAGAUAAACAACGUAGACUUGUGUUAGCAUAGAGAGUUCAAGAUAAGCUACAUUUAUGUAGAUUUUACAUAUUUAAACUUAAAUGAACACCACUCUGCGCUGAAGUCGCCAUAUAAAUCUAAAAUCUGAUCGGUGCGGGAGAAACAUUGUAAUCAUCGAGCUAACAUCAUUAUCAUUGGGCUAUCAUACACCAGGCUAACACCAGGCUAACCCCGGGUUAACACCGGGCUAACUUCGGGCUAACACCGGGCUAACCCCGGGCUAACCCCGGUCUAACAUCGUACAGAUUACGCUCCGCUCUGCACACUCCCCGAGGGAUUUUUCACCGCUGAACUGAAAUAAAACGAUUAAACUGGA